CAAUGUAACAGCAGUGCAGC
Molecule: microRNA, 20 nt
Filed under: Branchiostoma lanceolatum (amphioxus)
Lineage: Eukaryota; Metazoa; Chordata; Leptocardii; Amphioxiformes; Branchiostomatidae
Description: Bla-Mir-33-P7_3p (mature (guide))
Source: RNAcentral